GGCACAUGCGGCUCACGUCACUGAGACAUCAGCGUCAUUUUGCACAGUGCUGUGUCUGCGCUGUCCCUGAGUUAUCAGCUACCCCUGCCGAGCAGGUUGGGAAAGCGACAUGCCAUCCACGCCUGUGCAUCCUGCACCUGUGCCAGGCAGACUGUGACACAAAGCCAGGGUGAUGGGGUGGACCAAGCUUUGCUGCAAGAAUGCCGGGCUCCUGUCACUCCUUCCUCUGCCUCUCGCUACCACCGCCGAAGGUCUUCAAGGUCACGAGAUGAGCGCUAUCGGUCAGGCUCGUGUGAUCAGCCACUUCUGCAUCCUCCUCAGUCACCGUCUGCCUGGCCUCCUGGCUCUGCUCUUCUUUCUAGAGAGGUUUUAUGGCCUCGGGGAGUGUCACCCGUGCAAACGAGAAAGACACAGCUGAGAGCCUGAAUGAAAAGCUGGUGCCACCUCCACGGCGCCCCCUGCUGCUUCUCCAAGGAGGCUUUGACCCAGAAAACGUGUGGGGAUGGAACCAAGGAGGAUUUGCUCCCAAAUCCAACCUCCGUUAUUUCACAGAGGUCUUAAGCCCUGACACAUAUUGAGACCUUCUCUUACUCACGUGGGUGUCUCGGAGGCCCCUGUCGAGUUCAGGAUUGUGGAGGUGCCCGUGUGCUGUCAGCCUGCGGUGAACACUUCCCUCACCGUGUGUCAAUGCCACUGUGCGGGCGCCCUGUCUGAACACACAACACACCCAGACGUGCACACAGGCAUGAGUUCAUACAGCUUCAGUUCUCAUGGAAGCCAGUGGGGUCUGCCUUCCAUUUCAUAGAUGAGGAAGCUGAAAUUCAGGGAGGCUGCCCGAUGGCUGACGAUCACACGGGGCCGCUCCUCGCAGGAAGAUGCAAGCCCAGCUUUGGCCUGACAUGUUACCACACGGGAGAGGAGAUCCACGUCAGUCACCAUUGCGUCUGUUUCCUACAUUCUCUCUCCACGAUGCUGCAGCGGGGUUGAUAAACCCUGUGUUUACCUUUGGAUUGUGCCAUCUUCACAAUCCCAGCUACUCUACGAGAUAAGUGUGGUGGGUUGUGGUUGUCUCGCACUCUUCUCUCUCGAUAAAAGCCUGAGAGAGGUGGGUGUAGCAGGAGAUGGUGAUCUCUUGGUUUUGGGCGCGUUUUCUGUUCACCCGUGCACCUUACCUCACCUCUUCAAAGGCAGGAAGGCGUGGGGGAGAGAGGCACAUGGCGGGGGGGUGGCUGAGAGUGGGAGGGUGGGUGGAGGAGACCAACGCUUCAGCUCAGAGACUGCAGGCUCUGCUCUGGAGGGGAAGCCAGACCCAACGUGAGAAGUAUGGUUCAUUUAUCCUGUUUCUGUAAAAUUGUGAAAUACGGCACCUCUUCAUACACAAUCCCUCCUGUUCCCCAUCCUGACUUACGUCUCCACUGCCGUUAUAACCACACAACACUCUGUCCAUCUGUCUGCAUAUCUGUGUAUUCGUUAUUUAUCUACCUGUCAGUCAUCCAUUUAUCAACCUCUCUGUAUCUGUCUAGGCAUUCACCAAUCAUCUACUUACCUAUCAAUCAUCCAUGUAUGUCCACCAUCCAUCCAUCUAUCAUCAGACAUCUCAUCCAUUUACCCAAUUACUCAGCCAUUCUUCCACCAUCCACCUCCCUACCUCUCACCUUCUCCCAUAAGAAUACGAGGUCCACACAGGCCAGGAUCUCUGUUUGGUUCAUUCGUGUGGGCCAAGCACCUGAAAUAUUGCCUGGCUUCUAUAUUUUGAAGGAAGAUGAGGGAGGAUGACACGUUUGGGGAAGGGCAAGAAGUCAGGUAGGAGGGGCCGGUUAUAGCAUCUUGAGUAUCAUGCUUGGGAGUUUGGACUUCAUCCUGAAGAUGAUGGGGAACCACUUGAAGAUUUUAGGCAAAGGGCCAGUGAGGGCCAGUCAGGGUUUGAAGAUCACGUUAGCAGCAGCAUGGAGCCUGGGCUUGAAAGUGGGGGAGUCUGAACAUCCCUGAAUGCCUGAAACUGAUGUGUACUUAAGAGAUAUGUCGGGGCUGGGCGCUGUGGCUCAUGCCUGAAAUCCCAGCACUUUUGGAGACCGAGGCAGGUUGAUCACCUGAGGUCAGGAGUUCGAGACCAGUCUGGCCAACAUGGCGAAACCCUGUCUCUACGAAAAAUACAAAAUUAGCCGGGUGUGUGGUGGCUCAUGCCUGUAAUUCCAGCUACUCCAGAGGCUGAGGCAGGAGAAUCUCUUGAACCCAGGAGGCGGAGGUUGCAGUGACCCGAGAUCACACCACUGCACUCUGGCCUGGGCGACAGAGUGAAACUGUGUCUCCAAAAAAAAAAAAAAAAAAAAAAAAAAAAACUCAGUAUCAGUGAGAUUUGAGAAAUGCUCAAAUGAUAACAGCAAUAGGACCUGAAGGUUGGGUUAACAAGGAGGAACCUGAGAGGAAAUCAGGGUGACCUUGAUGUCCAGUAUCAUACUGAAUGGGCAAAAACUGGAAGCAUUCCCUUUGAAAACUGGCACAAGACAAGGAUGCCCUCUCUCACCACUCCUAUUCAAAGAGAGGAAGUCAAAUUGUUUCUGUUUACAGAUGACAUGAUUUUAUAUUUAGAAAACCCCAUCAU
Macaca mulatta (Rhesus monkey) is the source of this 2602-nucleotide non-coding RNA. The record is from RefSeq and is a predicted model, not a curated record. Lineage: Eukaryota; Metazoa; Chordata; Mammalia; Primates; Cercopithecidae.